GUGGGGAAUAUUGGACAAUGGGCGCAAGCCUGAUCCAGCAAUGCCGCGUGAGUGAUGAAGGCCUUAGGGUUGUAAAGCUCUUUUACCCGGGAAGAUAAUGACUGUACCGGGAGAAUAAGCCCCGGCUAACUCCGUGCCAGCAGCCGCGGUAAUACGGAGGGGGCUAGCGUUGUUCGGAAUUACUGGGCGUAAAGCGCACGUAGGCGGCUUUGUAAGUCAGGGGUGAAAGCCUGGAGCUCAACUCCAGAACUGCCUUUGAGACUGCAUCGCUUGAAUCAUGGAGAGGUCAGUGGAAUUCCGAGUGUAGAGGUGAAAUUCGUAGAUAUUCGGAAGAACACCAGUGGCGAAGGCGGCUGACUGGACAUGUAUUGACACUGAGGUGCGAAAGCGUGGGGAGCAAACAGG
RNAcentral lists this ribosomal RNA (405 nucleotides) under uncultured Sphingomonas sp. Its description in RNAcentral is "bacterial SSU rRNA". It matches the Rfam family "Bacterial small subunit ribosomal RNA", at positions 354 to 776 of the family's 1533-position model. The record is from RNAcentral. Lineage: Bacteria; Pseudomonadati; Pseudomonadota; Alphaproteobacteria; Sphingomonadales; Sphingomonadaceae.